UUCUCUGUCUCUCUCCCUUCCCUUUACCUUUUAUCUAUCCUGUUACUACUUUGCUGCCACCGUGGAUGAAGAGCAUUAGAAUGGCGAUCCUCGGAAACGCUAUCAUUCUGUACACAAAGCGACAGGAAGUCUCGACUCCUGGUUCCCUCUCGGCCAGUUCCAGAAGCAGAAUCCUUUGACUCCUCGGCACAGCCUCACUGCUCUGGGUGUUGCUGUCCCUCAGGUGAAAUUCACAUAAAAUGCAAUUAACCCUUCACAGUUUAUGAUCCACAAUGCCGUGCAACCAGCAGCCUGCUCUUGUUUUAGGAUGAAAACCCUGUACCCAAAGAGGAGAUUAGGACACAGACGCACACAGAGGGAAGACUGUGUGAGGACAGCAGGAGAGGACACCAUCUGCCAGCCAGGGAGGGGGCCUCGGGAGAAACAACCCUGCUAUACCUUGAUUUUGGACUUCCAGCCUUCA
Molecule: long non-coding RNA, 463 nt
Organism: Otolemur garnettii (small-eared galago)
Lineage: Eukaryota; Metazoa; Chordata; Mammalia; Primates; Galagidae
Exons: 3
Source: RefSeq, a predicted model, not a curated record